GAUGAAAUUAGGAAAACAGCAUCAUCAUCUGAUAUGACUGCAACUGCAGUGACAUCUGGUACUACUACAAUUGCCUCACCAUCUGAUACUACUACAACUGCAUUGACAUCUGGUAGUACUACUACAAUUGCGCUGACAUCUGGA
This is a long non-coding RNA of Hydra vulgaris (swiftwater hydra), 144 nucleotides long. RefSeq lists it as uncharacterized. NCBI's taxonomy places the organism in Eukaryota, Metazoa, Cnidaria, Hydrozoa, Anthoathecata, Hydridae. The record is from RefSeq and is a predicted model, not a curated record.